UUGCGGCGUGCUUAACACAUGCAAGUCGAACGGAAAGGCCCUGCUUUUGUGGGGUGCUCGAGUGGCGAACGGGUGAGUAACACGUGAGUAACCUGCCCUUGACUUUGGGAUAACUUCAGGAAACUGGGGCUAAUACCGGAUAGGAGCUCCUGCUGCAUGGUGGGGGUUGGAAAGUUUCGGCGGUUGGGGAUGGACUCGCGGCUUAUCAGCUUGUUGGUGGGGUAGUGGCUUACCAAGGCUUUGACGGGUAGCCGGCCUGAGAGGGUGACCGGCCACAUUGGGACUGAGAUACGGCCCAGACUCCUACGGGAGGCAGCAGUGGGGAAUAUUGCACAAUGGGCGGAAGCCUGAUGCAGCAACGCCGCGUGCGGGAUGACGGCCUUCGGGUUGUAAACCGCUUUCGCCUGUGACGAAGCGUGAGUGACGGUAAUGGGUAAAGAAGCACCGGCUAACUACGUGCCAGCAGCCGCGGUGAUACGUAGGGUGCGAGCGUUGUCCGGAUUUAUUGGGCGUAAAGGGCUCGUAGGUGGUUGAUCGCGUCGGAAGUGUAAUCUUGGGGCUUAACCCUGAGCGUGCUUUCGAUACGGGUUGACUUGAGGAAGGUAGGGGAGAAUGGAAUUCCUGGUGGAGCGGUGGAAUGCGCAGAUAUCAGGAGGAACACCAGUGGCGAAGGCGGUUCUCUGGGCCUUUCCUGACGCUGAGGAGCGAAAGCGUGGGGAGCGAACAGGCUUAGAUACCCUGGUAGUCCACGCUGUAAACGGUGGGUACUAGGUGUGGGGUCCAUUCCACGGGUUCCGUGCCGUAGCUAACGCUUUAAGUACCCCGCCUGGGGAGUACGGCCGCAAGGCUAAAACUCAAAGGAAUUGACGGGGCCCCGCACAAGCGGCGGAGCAUGCGGAUUAAUUCGAUGCAACGCGUAGAACCUUACCAGGGUUUGACAUGGAUCGGGAGUGCUCAGAGAUGGGUGUGCCUCUUUUGGGGUCGGUUCACAGGUGGUGCAUGCCUGUCGUCAGCUCGUGUCGUGAGAUGUUGGGUUAAGUCCCGCAACGAGCGCAACCCUUGUUCACUGUUGCCAGCACGUUAUGGUGGGGACUCAGUGGAGACCGCCGGGGUCAACUCGGAGGAAGGUGGGGAUGACGUCAAGUCCUCAUGCCCCUUAUGUCCAGGGCUUCACGCAUGCUACAAUGGCUGGUACAGAGAGUGGCGAGCCUGUGAGGGUGAGCGAAUCUCGGAAAGCCGGUCUCAGUUCGGAUUGGGGUCUGCAACUCGACCUCAUGAAGUCGGAGUCGCUAGUAAUCGCAGAUCAGCAACGCUGCGGUGAAUACGUUCCCGGGGCUUGUACACACCGCCCGUCAAGUCAUGAAAGUUGGUAACACCCGAAGCCGGUGGCCUAACCGUUGUGGGGGAGCCGUCGAAGGUGGGACUGGUGAUUAG
RNAcentral lists this ribosomal RNA (1434 nucleotides) under uncultured organism. RNAcentral's name for it is "partial small subunit ribosomal RNA". It matches the Rfam family "Bacterial small subunit ribosomal RNA". The record is from RNAcentral.